RNAcentral lists this ribosomal RNA (496 nucleotides) under Idiomarina zobellii. Its description in RNAcentral is "bacterial SSU rRNA". It matches the Rfam family "Bacterial small subunit ribosomal RNA", at positions 953 to 1452 of the family's 1533-position model. Lineage: Bacteria; Pseudomonadati; Pseudomonadota; Gammaproteobacteria; Alteromonadales; Idiomarinaceae. The record is from RNAcentral.
GAUGCAACGCGAAGAACCUUACCAUCCCUUGACAUCCAGUGAAUUUUCCAGAGAUGGAUUAGUGCCUUCGGGAACACUGAGACAGGUGCUGCAUGGCUGUCGUCAGCUCGUGUUGUGAGAUGUUGGGUUAAGUCCCGCAACGAGCGCAACCCUUAUCCUUAGUUGCCAGCGGUUCGGCCGGGAACUUUGGGGAGACUGCCGGUGAUAAACCGGAGGAAGGUGGGGACGACGUCAAGUCAUCAUGGCCCUUACGGGAUGGGCUACACACGUGCUACAAUGGCGCGUACAAAGGGCAGCGAACCUGCGAGGGUAAGCGAAUCUCAUAAAGCGCGUCGUAGUCCGGAUUGGAGUCUGCAACUCGACUCCAUGAAGUCGGAAUCGCUAGUAAUCGUGGAUCAGAAUGCCACGGUGAAUACGUUCCCGGGCCUUGUACACACCGCCCGUCACACCAUGGGAGUGGGCUGCACCAGAAGUGGUUAGUUAACGUCGGAGAACG